AUUAGAUACCCUAUUAUUUUUAAUGUAAAUAAAUUAAUCCUGAGUAGUAGUAGAUAUGAUCUUGAAACUUAAAGAAUUUGGCGGUAUUAAAGUCUAUUUAGAGGAAUCUGUUGUGUAAUCGAUAAUCCGCGUUGAAUCUUACUUAAAUAAAUUUCUUGUAUAUCGCUGUUUAUGAAAAUAUUAUAAGAUGAAUUUUCUCAAUAUUUAAAUUGUUAGAAUUUCAAGUCAAGGUGCAGUUAUAUUAAAGUUUGAAUGGAUUACAAUAAAUUUUAUUUAUAUGAAUACAAUAUUGAAAUAUUUGUUUGAAAGUGGAUUUAAUUGUAAUUUUUUAAAGAUUGUUAAAAUGAUUUUAGCUCUAUAAUAUGUACACAUCGCCCG
This 378-nucleotide ribosomal RNA is filed under the name Gildella suavis. Its description in RNAcentral is "partial 12S ribosomal RNA". Lineage: Eukaryota; Metazoa; Arthropoda; Insecta; Mantodea; Haaniidae. The record is from RNAcentral.